CGCGCAGGUGGGAUAAUAAGUCUUUUGUAAAAGUGCGGGGCUCAACCCCGUAAAGCGAUGGAUACUGUUAUUCUUGAGUGCAGGAGAGGAAAGCGGAAUUCCCAGUGUAGCGGUGAAAUGCGUAGAUAUUGGGAGGAACACCAGUGGCGAAGGCGGCUUUCUGGACUGUGUCUGACACUGAGGCGCGAAAGCUAGGGGAGCGAACGGGAUUAGAUACCCCGGUAGUCCUAGCCGUAAACGAUGGGUACUAGGUGUAGGGGGUAUCGACCCCUCCUGUGCCGGAGUUAACGCAAUAAGUACCCCGCCUGGGGAGUACGGCCGCAAGGUUGAA
Molecule: ribosomal RNA, 331 nt
Filed under: uncultured bacterium
Lineage: Bacteria
Description: bacterial SSU rRNA
Rfam family: Bacterial small subunit ribosomal RNA
Source: RNAcentral